AGAGUUUGAUCCUGGCUCAGGACGAACGCUGGCGGCGUGCUUAAUACAUGCAAGUUGAGCGGAGCCAUUGAUGAAGCUUGCGAUUCAAUGGUCGGGCGGCGGACGGGUGAGAAACGCGUGGGCAACCUGCCCUCUAGUCUGGGAUAACAGUUCGAAAGGGCUGCUAACACCGGAUAAGCUCACGGAGAGGCAUCUUUCAGUGAGAAAAGUUUACGCUAGAGGAUGGGCCCGCGUCCCAUUAGCUAGUUGGUGAGGUAACGGCUCACCAAGGCGCCGAUGGGUAGCCGACCUGAGAGGGUGACCGGCCACACUGGGACUGAGACACGGCCCAGACUCCUACGGGAGGCAGCAGUAGGGAAUUUUCCGCAAUGGGCGAAAGCCUGACGGAGCAACGCCGCGUGAGGGAAGAAGGUCUUCGGA
This 420-nucleotide ribosomal RNA is filed under the name uncultured bacterium. RNAcentral describes it as "bacterial SSU rRNA". It matches the Rfam family "Bacterial small subunit ribosomal RNA", at positions 8 to 422 of the family's 1533-position model. The record is from RNAcentral.